RNAcentral lists this ribosomal RNA (443 nucleotides) under uncultured bacterium. Its description in RNAcentral is "partial 16S ribosomal RNA". It matches the Rfam family "Bacterial small subunit ribosomal RNA", at positions 338 to 795 of the family's 1533-position model. The record is from RNAcentral.
CCUACGGGAGGCAGCAGUGGGGAAUAUUGGGCAAUGGAGGAAACUCUGAUCCAGCAACGCCGCGUGAAUGAUGAAGGUCUUCGGAUUGUAAAGUUCUUUUCUAAGGGAAGAAGAAAGUGACGGUACCUUAGGAAUAAGCCUCGGCUAACUACGUGCCAGCAGCCGCGGUAAUACGUAGGGGGCGAGCUUUAUCCGGAAUGACUGGGGGUAAAGGGUGAGUAGGUGGUUUGGCAAGUUAGUAGCGUAACUCCGAGGCCCAACCUUGGGACUACUUCUAAAACUGGUGGGCUUGAGUGCAGGAGGGGCAGGCGGAAUUUCUAGUGUAGCGGUGGAAUGCGUAGAUAUUAGGAGGAACACCAGUGGCGAAGGCGGGUUGCUAGACUGUAACUGACGCUGAGGCACGAAAGCGUGGGGAGCAAACAGGAUUAGAUACCCUUGUAGUC